CAGUAGCCGCGGGAAAACGUAGGUGGCAAGCGUUGUCCGGAAUUAUUGGGCGUAAAGGGCUCGCAGGCGGUUUCUUAAGUCUGAUGUGAAAGCCCCCGGCUCAACCGGGGAGGGUCAUUGGAAACUGGGAAACUUGAGUGCAGAAGAGGAGAGUGGAAUUCCACGUGUAGCGGUGAAAUGCGUAGAGAUGUGGAGGAACACCAGUGGCGAAGGCGACUCUCUGGUCUGUAACUGACGCUGAGGAGCGAGAGCGUGGGGAGCGAACAGGAUUAGAUACCCGCGUAGUCCCUGUCUCUUAUAC
RNAcentral lists this ribosomal RNA (301 nucleotides) under uncultured bacterium. RNAcentral describes it as "partial 16S ribosomal RNA". It matches the Rfam family "Bacterial small subunit ribosomal RNA", at positions 509 to 807 of the family's 1533-position model. The record is from RNAcentral.